AUCCAGUAGACGAGUCCCAAAUAGGACGAAACGCGCGUCCUGGAU
Molecule: non-coding RNA, 45 nt
Filed under: Schistosoma japonicum
Lineage: Eukaryota; Metazoa; Platyhelminthes; Trematoda; Strigeidida; Schistosomatidae
Also listed under: 1 other name
Source: RNAcentral